Molecule: non-coding RNA, 450 nt
Organism: Pelobates cultripes (western spadefoot toad)
Lineage: Eukaryota; Metazoa; Chordata; Amphibia; Anura; Pelobatidae
Source: the annotation of a GenBank genome assembly
AUAACUUAUUCGUAUUCAUAUAUAUUUACAUUUCAUUACAUUGUAUCAUUGUUAGUAGGUUUUGAUAGGGUUAAUCGACUUCUCUUUAACUCCCUCAGUUCUCGAAUCUCCAGGUCACCACAUCAAUUGAUGGGAGUUCUUGUUUAGCAAGUAACGACAGACACGAAAGAGUGCUCUAACAAGUUCUCAAAUAAGUGUAUUUUCGGGGCUAGCAUUUAUACACAGUUUGCCACGCAAGCAGCGAGAUUUAUCGCUUCCUUAUAGUUAAUAGUACAUACUUCUGUGGCAGUAGAAGAUAAGCAUUUGAAUAAAGACGGGACAGGAACAUCCUGAGGUCGAGCGAGGUCAUACAUCCUGUAGAAGGAAGACCUUGGUAUAAAAUACAUCUGCCAAAGUCAGCAUAAUUAUUUCAAACAUUAUUUUAAAGCAUAUAAAGCAAAAAGAGUUAAC